CACUAGACGGGGAACUAGCGGUGCCUUGUAACCUGCAAUCCGCUAUAGCAGGGUUUAAUUCCCAAUGGAGGUCUUUUGGAAGGUUAAAAGACUAGUAUAGCUAGUGUUGAUUGAUAGAUCUUACGCAAUGUAAGACUGUGAACCAUGUCAGGAGGGGAACCUAGCAGCAUUAAGCAGAUUCUUAUGUGUGCCGUAAGGCAACCUAUCAUGAGCUAAAUAUACUAG
Molecule: signal recognition particle RNA, 225 nt
Filed under: uncultured Anaerococcus sp.
Lineage: Bacteria; Bacillati; Bacillota; Tissierellia; Tissierellales; Peptoniphilaceae
Description: Bacterial large signal recognition particle RNA
Rfam family: Bacterial large signal recognition particle RNA
About the family: The signal recognition particle (SRP) is a universally conserved ribonucleoprotein involved in the co-translational targeting of proteins to membranes. Archaeal SRP consists of a 7S RNA and homologues of the eukaryotic SRP19 and SRP54 proteins.
Source: RNAcentral